Molecule: long non-coding RNA, 145 nt
Organism: Phyllostomus discolor (pale spear-nosed bat)
Lineage: Eukaryota; Metazoa; Chordata; Mammalia; Chiroptera; Phyllostomidae
Exons: 3
Source: RefSeq, a predicted model, not a curated record
UGUUUUUUAAUUGAAUUCAUUGGGGUGACAUUGGUUAAUAAAAUUAUAUAGAUUUCAGGUGUACAAUUCUAUAAUACAUUACCUAUAUAUGGUAUUGUGUGUGCACCAUCCAAAGUUAAGUCUCCUCCUUAUAAUUAAGUAAGAA